ACAUACCUAAAACGUUGCCUCGGCGGGAACAGACGGCCCCGUAACACGGGCCGCCCCCGCCAGAGGACCCCCUAACUCUGUUUCUAUAAUGUUUCUUCUGAGUAAACAAGCAAAUAAAUUAAAACUUUCAACAACGGAUCUCUUGGCUCUGGCAUCGAUGAAGAACGCAGCGAAAUGCGAUAAGUAAUGUGAAUUGCAGAAUUCAGUGAAUCAUCGAAUCUUUGAACGCACAUUGCGCCCGCCAGUAUUCUGGCGGGCAUGCCUGUUCGAGCGUCAUUACAACCCUCAGGCCCCCGGGCCUGGCGUUGGGGAUCGGCGGAAGCCCCCUGCGGGCACAACGCCGUCCCCCAAAUACAGUGGCGGUCCCGCCGCAGCUUCCAUUGCGUAGUAGCUAACACCUCGCAACUGGAGAGCGGCGCGGCCACGCCGUAAAACACCCAACUUCUGAAUGUUGACCUCGAAUCAGGUAGGAAUACCCGCUGAACUUAAGC
Molecule: ribosomal RNA, 491 nt
Filed under: Fusarium solani
Lineage: Eukaryota; Fungi; Ascomycota; Sordariomycetes; Hypocreales; Nectriaceae
Description: eukaryotic LSU rRNA
Rfam family: 5.8S ribosomal RNA (bases 123-276)
Source: RNAcentral